CCGCAAAAUCCAAGCCGGCUGUGAGCCCCCCCUUGGCGGAGGGACAGCGCAGUGCUCGGGGGCGUCACGCCGCGACACGGAGGCCUCAGGCCGGCGGAGCGACGGGAGGCCGCGCGCUCUCAGAGCCUCGUUUCCCAGAGUCUCCAUGACGGAGGCAAACUGCACCUGACGGGGUCAGAGGUCACGCAGAGGUCAACACCAGUCCCGCAUGGGGAGGGCCGACGUAGUCACGGACACAUUGGCGAACAUGUGUUUAAAGCUGAGUGUCAUCAUGCAGCUCCUCACCAUCUUCUCCCCGCCGCCGGGCCGCUGGGGGCCCUCUUCGCUCCGGAUCUCCAGGUGGAGCUGGAAGGUGGAACUGUCCUCCACCAGCUUCUUCAGCUCGGCCACAGCCGC
This is a long non-coding RNA of Pungitius pungitius (ninespine stickleback), 396 nucleotides long. RefSeq lists it as uncharacterized. The record is from RefSeq and is a predicted model, not a curated record. NCBI's taxonomy places the organism in Eukaryota, Metazoa, Chordata, Actinopteri, Perciformes, Gasterosteidae. The transcript has 3 exons.